Xiphias gladius (swordfish) is the source of this 554-nucleotide long non-coding RNA. RefSeq lists it as uncharacterized. The record is from RefSeq and is a predicted model, not a curated record. The transcript has 3 exons. NCBI's taxonomy places the organism in Eukaryota, Metazoa, Chordata, Actinopteri, Istiophoriformes, Xiphiidae.
UGCGUGCAUGAGCGAUGUGUGCGUAGAUGCUACUGUCAUGGCAUGAAAAUCACAGGUGUAACUAAUAACUCAAAUGAAGGCUCCGUUCAAUUAAGUGUCCCAGUAAGUCAUUCCAGUGAGCCAGCAUGCACAAUAUUGUGGCUCCUGGAACUCUUCACCUAGAUGGAAUGCAGCCCUUUUUUAAAGUUUGAGGAGUUGCCAGUGGAGUUAGAGUGACCUUGAGCCUGGGAGCCUGAGGGCAGGGCCAGAGGGGACACCAGCGGUGGCUGCACUUUGCUGAGGAUCUUGGAGCAGAGACGAAGGCAGUGGGUGAGUUCCCCAAGGCCCAGCGCCUGCAGGUGGCAGGUCAGAGCUGCCACCAUGCGCAACAGCAGCUGAGGAAGAUGCUCUGUCUGGAUCUCUAUGUACGUCUCCUAAACAUUUUGGAAAACACAAAAGUGAAGGCCCAGACAGGCAAGUGUUGGACUGGACUGACCUGCUGAGGUGUGUAUGGUCUUUGCUGAAUGGACUCUGGUUUUGGAGGUCCAACUCUGUUCGGCACUGCGUGUAUAGAG